This 497-nucleotide ribosomal RNA is filed under the name uncultured bacterium. RNAcentral describes it as "partial 16S ribosomal RNA". It matches the Rfam family "Bacterial small subunit ribosomal RNA", at positions 28 to 507 of the family's 1533-position model. The record is from RNAcentral.
GAGGAAAGAGGGCGGCGGGCCGAAUACAUGCAAGUCGAGCGAACAGACGAGGAGCUUGCUCCUCUGACGUUAGCGGCGGACGGGUGAGUAACACGUGGAUAACCUACCUAUAAGACUGGGAUAACUUCGGGAAACCGGAGCUAAUACCGGAUAAUAUAUUGAACCGCAUGGUUCAAUAGUGAAAGACGGUUUUGCUGUCACUUAUAGAUGGAUCCGCGCCGCAUUAGCUAGUUGGUAAGGUAACGGCUUACCAAGGCAACGAUGCGUAGCCGACCUGAGAGGGUGAUCGGCCACACUGGAACUGAGACACGGUCCAGACUCCUACGGGAGGCAGCAGUAGGGAAUCUUCCGCAAUGGGCGAAAGCUUGACGGAGCAACGCCGCGUGAGUGAUGAAGGUCUUCGGAUCGUAAAACUCUGUUAUUAGGGAAGAACAAAUGUGUAAGUAACUAUGCACGUCUUGACGGUACCUAAUCAGAAAGCCACGGCUAACUACGUG